This 374-nucleotide ribosomal RNA is filed under the name uncultured bacterium. RNAcentral describes it as "bacterial SSU rRNA". It matches the Rfam family "Bacterial small subunit ribosomal RNA", at positions 525 to 896 of the family's 1533-position model. The record is from RNAcentral.
ACGUAGGGUGCGAGCGUUGUCCGGAAUUAUUGGGCGUAAAGGGCUCGUAGGCGGUUUGUCGCGUCGGGAGUGAAAACGCCGUGCUUAACACGGCGCUUGCUUUCGAUACGGGCAGACUAGAGGUAUUCAGGGGAGAACGGAAUUCCUGGUGUAGCGGUGAAAUGCGCAGAUAUCAGGAGGAACACCGGUGGCGAAGGCGGUUCUCUGGGAAUGACCUGACGCUGAGGAGCGAAAGUGUGGGGAGCGAACAGGAUUAGAUACCCUGGUAGUCCACACCGUAAACGUUGGGCGCUAGGUGUGGGGUCCAUUCCACGGAUUCCGUGCCGCAGCUAACGCAUUAAGCGCCCCGCCUGGGGAGUACGGCCGCAAGGCUA